UUUUAAAGAUCUCCUUGUGGUUCUGCAAACGUCAGUUGCACGAUCCAAUUCUGAAAAUUCGAAUGGGCGAUGAACUGGAAGCGGUUUAAGAAGUUCAACUUCGUCGGAAAUGGAGCAACGACUUAACAGUCUCCGACCAGUUUCAUUGACCGCCGUUCACUCUGAUUCACACGGGUAACUGCUCGAAAAUCUAUAGCGUUUCACAUCUUCAAGCCCAAAACCAAAUUUGCCGCUUAUGGAGGAAUCGAAAGCUGCGGCGUACUACGAUGAGCUCACUCGUAAAGGAGAAGGGGCAGCAAGGUUCAAACGAGGCCUCGGUUUUUCCGCCUCCGACUCCAACAGUGACGUGGUCUCCGCGUCCAAGGGCUCCGCGCUGCCUUCGUCGUCUUCCUUCCUCAGUUCUUUUGUUAAAGCCUCAAGCCCUUCCAAGGCCUCCGAGUUCGAAAAGCAAGCGCAGCUCGAGGCCAUUCAGAACAAGCUUAAGAAGAAGAAACCAAGCUCUCCCGAAGGAGAAGAGAGGCGCCCUAGGGCUUUGGAGAGAGAUCGUCGGAAAUCGAGCCCUAGACGAAGGUCUUUGAGUAAGGAGAGGGAGAGACAUUCGCAUUCGAGGAGGCGGAGUUCGAGUAGAGAUAGGGAGAGACAUUCGAGGCGGCGAAGUAGGAGUCGAGAUAGGUAUGGGGAUACGUAUAGAGAUAGGGAUAGAGAGAGGAGGAGGAGAAGUAGGUCUAGGAGUAAUUCAGAUAGGGACCGGCGGCGUCGACGGAGUAGAAGCUUGUCGCUAGAGAGGAAGAAGUUGAAUGGAAGUAAGGGAGGGGGAAAACAGAAAGACCGUAAAGUUGAAGGACAGAAGACUGAAGGUGUUGAUUAUUCAAGAUUGAUUGAAGGAUAUGACAUGAUGUCUCCAGCUGAAAGAGUGAAAGCGAAGAUGAAACUACAACUUGCUGAAACUGCCAGAACGGAUGAUACAAAAGGCACAGGCCCAGGUUGGGAAAGGUUUGAGUUCAACAAGGAUGCUCCACUUGAUGAUGAAGAAAUUGAAGCUGCAGAAGAUGAUGCAACAUUAGUAAAGCAUAUUGGACAAAGCUUUCGAUUUUCUGCAAUUGAGGCUAGGAAAGAGGAGCAAAUCAAAGCUGCUCAUGACGAGGCCAUGUUUGGAGCACCAGUGGGUCAAUUAUUAAGUACAACCAAUGAUGAGGACGAGCUGGGGAACGAAAAGUCGAAGGAGUUGUGUGAUAGCGGUGUGGCAACAAGUCUAUUGAGUGAGAAGAUAAUUGCAAAACAACAAGGUUCUUGGCGUGACCGUGCUCGUAAAGUUUAGAUCAACAAGCUGAUAUUUGGUAGGUUCCUAAACUGGUUCAGAAUUCCAUUGCCCAUUGCUGGUUAUGAUAGCUGUUUUUGGAUUUUGUUGCAUGUGGGCUUCUGUCUGCCUCCCAGUAAAAGAUACCAAGAACGUCAGGUACAACUUUUGCCCAUAUCCAGCCCAAGGAUAAGUGUACUUUUUGUAAUGCGUGUUGGUUCUAGUUGUGGCUUUAUGUCAUGUAUAUUAUUAUCUUAUUGUUUGUUUUAGGAGUUUGAAGAUGAAAAAUAUCAAGUGAUACAUUAGAUUGAUUCAUGUAAGCCUAAAUUAUAGGAAGAAAUAUCAAGCAUUUUCUGUCGAGUAUUUUUAA
This is a non-coding RNA of Benincasa hispida (wax gourd), 1667 nucleotides long. The record is from RefSeq and is a predicted model, not a curated record. NCBI's taxonomy places the organism in Eukaryota, Viridiplantae, Streptophyta, Magnoliopsida, Cucurbitales, Cucurbitaceae.